CUCCAAAACAUGGAGUAUUUUUAUUUUGUCAUUUCUAAUGCAGACCGUGGGAUGUUCUCAAAGUUAAAAUAACACCUUGUUGUGCUGUAUAUCUCAGACACUGUGUUCAGUAUGCUAAGUAUGACAUACUCAGAUUAUAUAUAAAACCCACACCCAUCUAUACCCCUGCAUUAGGAUUUUUUUUUUUUUUUUUUUUAUUUUGAUGGCAUUGUGCUGGUCUGUUCUCCUUUUUCAUGUAAACAUAUAUCAAUACCAAAGAAGAAAAUCAACUUGAAAUGUUAAAUAUGGUGCCAGAUAGAACUACAGAUGCAGAUGUGCUUGUUUGACAUUGUACCUUGCAAUCCAGAAACUCUGGUGCACCCCAGAGUAGAAGCAUUCAUUAGGUGCAUUCCUCUUUAAGCUUCUCAGAACACUGGUGAGCUGUCGUUGUGUGGGCCCACUCUGAGCAUCGCAGCAUCAAACUCCACCUAAUCCCAGUGAGGAUCCUGGAUCUGAGUCCUUCUGUCUAAGCCACUGUUCAGCCUACAGGAGUAUAUGUUCCUAAUGUGGGAUUCACGUCUUCCACUUCACAGGCCAAAAGGCAUCAAGUCUUUCUCCUUCUUCUCUGAAGUUUACAGCUAAUCUUUAAAAUGAGCUGAAUGCGGGAACACCAGUUGGCGGAAGCUGUAUGCAUCUUUGAAAAUGCAGGUCCCUUUCUGGAAUUUACAUUUCAAGGAGAGCAGAUCUGUAUGGAUUAGUGAUGCAUAUAUCUACUUGAUUUGUUAGCACUCUUCAUUCCUGCUCAGCGUUUUUGGGAAGGACAGAGUUGAUGGAAUGAAUUCAAUGAUCAUUUUAGAGUUUACUAAUACCAGAAGAAAUAUAUUAUGCAUAGUAUAAUUUGAGUAGGGGGUUGGGUUUUUUGGUUUGGUUUUACAUAAAUCAAGAUUCUUAUCUGAAGUUUUGUUUUGGUAAAUGGUCUUAACCUCUGCAUAACAGAAUUCAAUAAAUACAAUAGACUAUAAUUUAACAUUACAAACUGUUUCAAUCAGUUUCUCAUUUUGUGGUCUGAAAAAUAUUAUCUCAUACAGUCCUGACCCUCUCCGUUCUUACUGUCUUCAAAAGAUGACCCUUCUGUCCUCAUCCUCAGGAGGGGGAUCAGAUCAACUUAACAGAAGAUCCACUGAGCCAUACUUUAGUAACACUGACAUCAAAAGUACUCCAUUUUUGGCACUUGGAAUUCAAAACUAGUCAAAUUUUGGAAAGAACUGGAGGCUCACAAUCAGUUUAAAGAUGUUAUUAACAAGACAGUCCUCAAUUUAAGAAAUUACAAAUAUCUCUUAUGAAUUUCCACAAUUGAUAACAAACCAUAAACUAUUCUUCUCCAAAUGGGUCAUCAAAGGACUUUCAUCUCAUUAUCUGAUACUCAAGAGGUGUUUGCAGAAAUAAAUUUCAUGUGGGAAGGUUGCUUAAAGAGAUCAUGCAGUUUUUUCAAAGGUUGUUGGGAGCGUCUGAAACAGAUGACAUAGUCACAUGUGUAAGACUACUGCAGAAUUCACGAUGAUUUGAGCAGCUCUUUGAUGUUGUUUUGCAUUCCACAAAUAUUAAGCUUUCACUUUAAACUGUUCCUUUCCUUUUUUAGUUAAAAUGCCAUAGUUAUAGUUGCUUUGAUCUAAUAUCACUGAGAAUUAGCAAUAUCAAGCAACUGCAGCUGUAACUGGAUCAAUUUAGCCUUUGCCACAAUAAGCAGCACACCCACACUUAAUACCUAGAUGAGUCUAAUGUUAGUAUUUUUUUUUAUACGGGCUAUAUAUAUUUCCUAUAGUACAUAAAGAAAAAGCAUUGGGAAACAUAAGAGCUAGGUUUUUGCCCCAAAAAGCUCCUAGUACAUAACUGAUAGGAAGAAAACAAAGAGGUUCCUCUGUUGCACUCACCCCCAUUGUUUUACCAGGAAGAGGGUUGGAUUUUUUCAUUGUAUCCUCUGUAUCGAGCUGCUCAAAGGCCUUGGGCUGAGUUCCGGUCUUUUCUUUCACAGUUUAGCCGUGAUAGAGGAUUUACAGUUCCUCUUAAAGAAUAGCUGUUAAAGCAGAGACAUUUUUGGAAUAUCCAUAGGCAAUAUUGUGGAGAACUUUACGGAGGGCAUACACUUAGUGCACAUCGUUGUAUGCUGCUACACAACAUCAACUCCUUCAGUAUCCUUUUGAUACAAAACCAAUAGAUAAUCCUAUAAAAUGCAUCGAAGAAAAAUUAGAUUGACUACUGUAAGGAAGUGCAUCCGCAUACAGAGUUUUCAGUCUUCAUGCACAUUUCAAGAGCGCAUCAAAAAGAAAUUUAAAAAUUGGGUUGAUUCCAGCAAGUUUGACUGCUAAUUGCCUUUGUCAAUUCAGAUGCUUUCAUGAGUUGGACAAAAAUUUUGAUAUUGUUGUAAUACCUGUAAUUUCUUGUUUAAUCUAUGUGGUCAAAAACAAAAAUACAGGUUAGUACUUUAUAGGAACAGAGUUUAAAAAAAAAAAAAAGAAAAAGAGAGAAACACCCCCCCCAAUACCUUGAUUCAUAGUAAGAGUUGCACAAUAACAAUACUCACAAUAACAUUUCCUUGCAGGGAAAGGAACAUUUAAAUUAUUUAAGUAAAGAUUAUACUCCUGUAGAUUAUUGUUUUCUAUACUUGUGUAUUUGAUCCUUCAUUUCCUUCAAAAGUUUGAAUUUUAUCAUAGAAUUGUACAGAUGCAUUGGAAUUAAAAUCAGUAAUAAUUUGCCUAGCACAUUAAUCAUUACCAGCAGUUAAUGGUCAAUAUUUAGUUACUGGCCAAAUAAUUUCCACUUUGAUUAUUUCAAGUUUCAAUGUAACUUACUAAAUUGUUUUGCUAUUUUAUAAAACAAAUUUAAAGGUUAGAACCAGCAGCAGAUAAAAAGACUCUGUAGUAUCAUUUGGUGAUUAUAGAGGAAUUGUCAUGUCUUUAAGGUUAACUAACAGUGACAUGAGCUUACCACAAUUCCUGAAAAAUUUUUGGAAGCCAAGAUACUAAGGGAACUGCAACGCAUAAAUUAGUACUUGAAGUUGAAUCUGCUACUUAGGGAAAAUACAACAGAUUAAAACAGACUGACAUAAAUCAUACUUUCCUGGUAAAACAGAUGUGGUGUAAAGUGUACAGUAUCUCAUGUAUUAGCCCAUGUAACAAGUACUAUGAAGUCUAUUUUCUGAUGCAAAAUGGUCUUACACUUUUACAUUGUAUGUUCUUUUAGUUCCAUUACAAAAACCUCUCGGUAAGUGUUUAAAGAAAAACAUCUUAAUGUAAAAGCUUUACCAGUGGUACAGUGUUUCUCAAAGGACAUUUCUAUGGUUUUGUAUUGUUUUCUCUGAGAUAAAAAGGUGGCUUGAGUCACACUACAAUAAAAGUAGAGAGUUAUCACAC
Aptenodytes forsteri (emperor penguin) is the source of this 3389-nucleotide long non-coding RNA. RefSeq lists it as uncharacterized. Lineage: Eukaryota; Metazoa; Chordata; Aves; Sphenisciformes; Spheniscidae. The record is from RefSeq and is a predicted model, not a curated record. The transcript has 2 exons.